Molecule: ribosomal RNA, 292 nt
Filed under: uncultured bacterium
Lineage: Bacteria
Description: partial 16S ribosomal RNA
Rfam family: Bacterial small subunit ribosomal RNA
Source: RNAcentral
GUGUCAGCAGCCGCGGUAAUACAGAGGCCACAAACGUUAGGCGGAAUCACUGGGCUUAAAGCGUGUGUAGGCGGACCGUUAAGUGCUUUGUGAAAUCCCACGGCUCAACCGUGGAAUGGCUUGGCAUACUGGCGGUCUUGAGCCACCUAGGGGCAACUGGAACAAGCGGUGGAGCGGUGAAAUGCGUAGAUAUCGCUUGGAACGCCAAAGGUGAAAACAGGUUGCUGGGGGUGUGCUGACGCUGAGACACGAAAGCCAGGGGAGCAAACGGGAUUAGAUACCCUUGUAGUCC